GAGAAUCAGGUAUUUCUCUGUACCCCUCUUUAUUUAUUUAUCCUUUUUUUUUUUCUUUUUUAGUUUCCAAGAGGAAUUCUUCCCAAGAAGAAAAAUCCCAGUUCGGAUCCACAUGUGGAUUCCAGAUCCCAGGAUCCACUCUGUGCCAUAAUAAGGCUGUGCCAUCAGCUGGGAAACAUGAUGUCAACUGCAACACAGAGUAAAUCCAAGAGCAGAGAAGGAAGUCUCCAUGGCGUCUCUACUGAGUGAGCAGCUGAGGAGACAAAUGACUUUCCCAACUCCUGUUUCUGUUCACAGCCCUGCCAGCUGUCACCACAGCCAUUUCCAUGCCAACAUCUCAGUAAAGUAUCAGCGUUUCCAGCAAAAAAAGGGUUUUGCUGGGAUUGUAGUCUCACCGCACCGCAAGGAAAGCAGAGAAGCCUGCAACGUCAUCAUGCGUGCAUAAAAAAGCCCUGGAACCCAGGGCAGGAUCAUCCAUUCCACGAUGGUGGGAGGUGGUCCCUGCAUGUGAAGGUCAGUCCUGACGAUGUGCUGCGACGCCAGCAGGAGCAUGAAGAGGAAGGUUAGUGACUCCAUACCAGACACGCUCAGGUUGCAGCUACUUCAGACUGCUCCAACACCUAACAUCCUCUGGAAAUUUAAACUCUGGUCUAUGCCAGCAGACUUUGUGCUCCUGAUCAUACCCUGACAGCCCCAUGGUUCUCAAAACGUUUCCCAUCGCUCAUUAGAGAUGUCUGCAAGACCAAGACAGCUUUGUUUUCCUUACGCAUCUGAUUGAUAAUCCAUCUUAAUGAAGUUACACUUCUGAGCUAACAAAUUCAGAUGUCUCACUGAGCAAUCUCAACUGUUGUUUGAGGAUGCCCAUUACACUUUGCUGUAAUGAAACCAGAAAAACUGUCUUAGCAUGGAUACAGUUACUGAUAAACAUACUCCUGCAGCAAUAUAACUACAUCUCUGAUAGGACACAGCUGUAUUAGAAGGAACCACACUUCCAGUGGACACCAUAGUUCUAACAGCGUUUACCAAGGAAAAGACACCUUUCAUAGAAGACUAAACCAAGGGCAAGCAAAGGGAAAACCAAGUUGCUCAGUCUCAUAAAGUCAUUCAUUUCUGUAGGUAUUUUUAGAUCUUGUGAAUACAUUUUAUAUGCUACAUCAGGCUGUUUAUAUCAGAAUCAAACCAUUCUGGAAUGGGUAGUUCGAAUAGAUGAGCUGACCUGAGUUAGUAUUGAAAGUAAGAUCUCCAAGAGGAAUAUCUGGCAUUUAUGAAGUGGGAUGUUUAUCUGUUACUACUAUGAUAAAUAAGACUGCUGCAUCUAACAUACAAGUGACACUGCUCCAGAGGGCAUCAAGAGACAACAUCAGAAACACACGUGAUUUGGAACCAAGCUACACACGUGUGCAGCAGAAACUGGACAACAGUUGAUGGGGUGAUGAACUCCAGAAGAAACCAAGACCUGCAGCCUGCAACGAUCAGAAAAUGUUAUUGUAAAAGUCUUGAGACUUGGAAUGCGGAAACUGGUGAAAGAAACAAUUCCACAGACACUGCAAAACCAUCCAGCACUGACUGUCCUUUAGUUGGCUGGGGUUUAAUCUGUGAUUUCAGAAGGGUCAGCAUGGGUUGUCUAAAAGCCAGAAGAAACAGAAGGUUACACUGCUAUAUAUUCUCUUUUAAGAUCCCAAGCAGGAGCUGUGCCUGGAUGCGUUCUGCAGUAAUUUACAUGGUAAUAGAUGGUGCCAUUUCUCUGCGAUGAGGUACAACUUUUUUUGUAAGGGGGAAAACGUGUAAACACAUUUUCUCUUCAUCACAUAUGAGAGAAAGCUCUGAGGGGAGAAUAAAACUGUUUUUCCCCUGAGUCAAAGUCAGAGUCAUUUGAGGAAUCAAAUGACUGCGAGUUCCCCUGGUUGCUGUGCAACUUGCGAGCAUCUUAAAAGCGCCUCUUCUCUGCCUAAUAGCUCAUUUCUAAAACCUGCUCGCUGUGUUGUAUCUGAUGUUAGUUCUUCAAAUGGAGAGAAAUUCACACAUCAUGAAAGUGCAGCUUUAAAGACCAGCCUGGCAAAAGGGAAUGGAAACCAUUAAAUGGAACCCAUUAAAUUUUCCAAUCAAGCCCAUCCCAACCUCACUGAAAAAGGCCUAAGGGAAAUUUCAGCAUACCGCAGAAAGAAGCUCUCCCUAAUGUCACAAACCAUCAAAUGCUGUCUUUAUUGAAGAUGGUCCAGAAUGAGAGGCAGAUGUACUGUGCCAGAAGCUCUCUAUUUGUGUAAGAACACGAGCACACAACUUGCAAACAGUGUAUUUCUCUAGUACAUAACAAGAUGGUGUCACGGAUUUUUUCCAAGGACUGCUGCAUUAUCAGAGCCUCCAGUCCCUAUUACAAGUGGCAGCACAAGACAUCAUCCCGCAGACGUGAUGGAGAAUGUUCUGACAGCUGCAUUAAUGACAAGAAAUGCUUCCAAAAGGUGGAACUUAUGCUCAGUUCACCUAAGGUAUGAACUAAACAUUCAGUGCUAUGAAUCCUGGGGUAGUGCUGGCGUAACAUUGUCCAGGAUUGUCCCUACGUGUAAACAAAGCCUGUAGAUGCAUUUCUGGGGGAGGCGAUCCAAAGGGCAAGCUCCUCCUUUACCUGUUGAGCACAACCUGUCCCAGCUGAAGCUACAAUUCACUUAAUGACUAGGAGACAAGAGGCAACUCAGAGUACCUUCUUGUGAAGACAACGCCAUCGUGUCACUGUUCAGUCUCCUGGCUUCUGAAAAUGGCCAUAAGUGUCUCUGCCUUUCCAAGAAGUGAGAUCAGCAACUUCAGUCAUGGUGGUUGGGAAGCACUUUGAGGGUAGAGGCUGCUGCAAUACAAAGUCUGUUAUGUUCCCUCUUUCUUCCUUCAGUCUUGCCAGGGUCUUUGUGUGACAUUUGGCUUGCAGGUGGAUUGUGCUAUUAGAGAAUUUCAUUUUCAAUGCUCAUCAAACUCAUUGUCACCUGAUCCUCUACCAAGGGGACCAUUUUCAAGGGAAAGCAGCAGCUGCUGGAGGCAGUGUCUUUUUCUUCCUAUCUAAUCUUCACCGAUAUUUUUAUGUCACCUACAUUCUACUUCUUGGGAAUUAAGUGCUUUCUGCGUGCUGUGCCAUUAAUAUAAAUAUCAAACACAGAAAUUAUGUUCCGCCCCCCCCUCCCCUUAUCUAUGGGGAAAUCCCUUAUCUCUCACAGCCAUAAGUAAUUUAGGAUCAGACACAGAUGGGCUGAGAUGUGAAUGCCUCAGGGAGCAACUGAAAUAGCUCCCUGAUAGACAUCACAGGGGCUGAGCACAGUAUUUCUCUGCAUUUAUUCUGAUUAUCACGAAGGCUGCCAACAGGCUCUUCUCUUUGGAGUUUGGUGGAGCUCUCUUCUGUACUCUUGCUGCGGAUGGUGAUAGCAAACGCUCUUCAUAGAUGAAUAAGCACUAAUUUGUAACUGCAGAGCCCUGUGUUAAUAAGCAGGACAGAGUUCUUCUAUCAGUCAGCUACAUCAGCUCCCAAUGAGGUUACCACUGAGAGGCAAAUGUGGCAUGGGAGCCAUGAAAUUAACUUUAGUUCCCCUGACACUCAUUUCAAUAGGUUAGAUCUCACCCGCAGCACUGAAUCCCACAGCACCUAAAACAUACCCCCAAGGUUAUGUGUUUGGGGGUAUAUUAUAUGCUGCUGCCUUCUACAACUAAAGCUAUUUUGGCCUUGGAGAGGGAGCUUUCACACGAACUGAACUACAUUUUGCAGUCUGUGUGACAACAGGGCAACUGCAGUGUCUGAUGUAGUAGCACAAGUAUAUAUUCUAGCUGCACCCAAAAAGCAUGUGAUUUCUGUAUCAUGAAAAGGAGAAAUGCCAUUGCUGGCAAGCACAGCAUGGCGAGGCAGGACUGGGAGCAGCAGGUCUAUACCCCCAUCCAUCCCCGUUUCUGAGCAGGGGGGACAUGCACAGAAGCAUCUGCUCCCCCCCAUCAAUACAACUGCAGGUGACUGGGGAGA
Pezoporus flaviventris is the source of this 3991-nucleotide long non-coding RNA. RefSeq lists it as uncharacterized. The transcript has 6 exons. NCBI's taxonomy places the organism in Eukaryota, Metazoa, Chordata, Aves, Psittaciformes, Psittacidae. The record is from RefSeq and is a predicted model, not a curated record.